GACGUAGGGGGCAAGCGUUGUCCGGAAUUAUUGGGCGUAAAGCGCUCGUAGGCGGAUCGGUAAGUCUGUGAAGAAAGACCCGGGCUCAACUCGGGGAACGGCAUAGAUACUGCUGAUCUUGAGACAGUCAGAGGAUGAUGGAAUUCCAGGUGUAGCGGUGAAAUGCGUAGAUAUCUGGAGAAACACCAGUGGCGAAGGCGAUCAUCUGGGGCUGUUCUGACGCUGAGGAGCGAAAGCUAGGGGAGCAAACGGG
This 253-nucleotide ribosomal RNA is filed under the name uncultured bacterium. RNAcentral's name for it is "partial 16S ribosomal RNA". It matches the Rfam family "Bacterial small subunit ribosomal RNA", at positions 524 to 776 of the family's 1533-position model. The record is from RNAcentral.